RNAcentral lists this ribosomal RNA (594 nucleotides) under uncultured Geobacillus sp. RNAcentral describes it as "bacterial SSU rRNA". It matches the Rfam family "Bacterial small subunit ribosomal RNA", at positions 96 to 674 of the family's 1533-position model. The record is from RNAcentral. Lineage: Bacteria; Bacillati; Bacillota; Bacilli; Caryophanales; Anoxybacillaceae.
CGGCGGACGGGUGAGUAACACGUGGGCAUCUUGCCCGCAAGACCAGGAUAACUCCGGGAAAACCGGAGCUAAUACCGGAUAACACCAAAGACCGCAUGGUCUUUGGUUGAAAGGCGGUUUCGGCUGCCACUUGCGGAUGGGCUCGCGGCGCAUUAGCUAGUUGGUGAGGUAACGGCUCACCAAGGCGACGAUGCGUAGCCGGCCUGAGAGGGUGACCGGCCACACUGGGUCUGAGACACGGCCCAGACUCUUACGGGAGGCAGCAGUAGGGAAUUUUCCGCAAUGGACGAAAGUCUGACGGAGCGACGCCGCGUGAGCGAAGAAGGCCUUCGGGUCUUAAAGCUCUGUUGUGAGGGACGAAGGAGCGCCGUUUGAAUAAGGCGGCGCGGUGACGGUACCUCACGAGAAAGCCCCGGCUAACUACGUGCCAGCAGCCGCGGUAAUACGUUGGGGGCGAGCGUUGUCCGGAAUUAUUGGGCGUAAAGCGCGCGCAGGCGGUCCUUUAAGUUUGAUGUGAAAGCCCACGGCUCAACCGUGGAGGGUCAUUGGAAACUGGGGGACUUGAGUGCAGGAGAGGAGAGCGGAAUUCCACGU